UUCGCCGGGGAGAAAAAUAUAAUGGGGGCCGCGCGAGUUUUAAUUUUUUGGGUUUAAAUGAGACCCGCAGUAAUGUUUUAUUAGGGGAAAGUUGGGGGGGCUCCAGUAUCCAACUGUCAGAGGGGAAAAUGCUAGGAUCCAGCUGAAGACCAACCUCCGCGAAAAGCUUUUGCCCAGGAUUUUUUCAUUACAUCAGGACCGAAAGUUAGGGGAUCGAAGGGCGUUCGGAUCGGUCGUAGUCUUACCAUAAAUUAUGCCGACUAGGGAUCGGACGGGGUUAUUCAUGCUCGGUUCGGCUCCUUCGAGAAAUCAAAGUGCUUGGCUCCAGGGGGAGUCAGUCGCAAGGCCUGAAACUUAGAGAAAUUGACGGAAGGGCACCGCCAGGGGUGGAGCCUGCGGCUUAAUUUGACUCAACACGGGGAAACUCGCCAGGUCCAGACACAAUAAGGAUUGACAGAUUGAGAGCUCUUUCUUGAUCUUGUGGGUGGUGGUGCAUGGCCGUUCUAAGUUGGUGGGGUGACUUGUCUGCUUAAUUGCGAUAACGAACGAGACCUUAACCUGCUAAAUAGCCCGCAUUGCUCCGGCAGUGCGCUGGCUUCUUAGAGGGACUUUCGGCUCAAGCCGAAGGAAGUUUGAGGCAAUAACAGGUCUGAGAUGCCCUUAGAUGUUCUGGGCCGCACGCGCGCUACACUGACGGGGUCAGCGAGUUCCUUGGCCGAAAGGCCCGGGUAAUAAAUGUUAGCCCCCGUCGUGCUGGGGAUAGAGCAUUGCAAUUAUUGCUCUUCAACAGAAGAAAAUCCCUCGCCCACCCUCUCUAUGUGUCCCCUGUGCGUUGAUUCAACCCUGCUGUGCGUCAUCGCGGCGUCAGGCGACUCGUUAAGCCUGCAGGACUGACC
This 896-nucleotide ribosomal RNA is filed under the name uncultured fungus. RNAcentral describes it as "bacterial SSU rRNA". It matches the Rfam family "Eukaryotic small subunit ribosomal RNA", at positions 804 to 1646 of the family's 1831-position model. The record is from RNAcentral. Lineage: Eukaryota; Fungi.